Long non-coding RNA from Odocoileus virginianus texanus, 1974 nucleotides. RefSeq lists it as uncharacterized. The record is from RefSeq and is a predicted model, not a curated record. NCBI's taxonomy places the organism in Eukaryota, Metazoa, Chordata, Mammalia, Artiodactyla, Cervidae.
AAGCCCCCUACCUGGGGGAGAAGAGCCCGGAGCGGACGGGCUGGCUGGUGCCCGGGCCACCCUGUCCGUUUGGGAAAGUCCAUCUGAUUCUCCACGCAUUCUUGAGGACUUGGUCACCCGCUCCCGCCCCCUCCCGGGAGCGGCAUAGUUUUCUAAGUGCGUGUCCAUCAUUCAUUCACAAAGACUGACACACAGGACGUGAGGCAGCGGCUGGAGGGGCGUGCGUGAGAGCAAGGGGCUCCGAGCCAGUGUCCUCAAAGGGCUCUGGGAAUACUGGACUCCGGCCGCUUGGUGACUCAGGGAUCGGGGUUGUAUUGCUGGAGGAGCCUUCGAUUUUUCCAGAGCCCACCCGCGUCAUCGUUAAGAAAUCAGUUAAGAAAUGAGCUGCCCUUGAUAAGAAUCUAGCUGCCACUGGUAUGGAUGGAGCCCAAGGCUGCCUCCUGGAGACCCCAGAACAAAGGCCCAACGACUUCUAUAGUAUUAGGAAAGUCAAGAACUGGGCCCCCAAACUGGAAUCCAGUCCUGGGCUUCCUUGAACUUCCAGUUUCCCUUCAUCAGUGGUUCUGUUCCUCUAAUUAUGUCACCAUUGGCCAAAGUUUUGUCUUUGCUUUCACAAACUCCUCUACUGGAUAAAACUGACAAUCCUCCUAUUGCCACUGUCUAAAACAUGAUGCACAGCUCUGUGGUUUGAAAUUUCUGGAGUACAUCUUUCUCAGCCAUGACAGAAUCACAGUUUCAGCCCCCUUUUCCAUUUGGGAAGCCCAGACACUUAGGAUACCCUAACAUGACCCCUGCAUAAUUAAUAGUUUGCCACUGGUGCAUUGGUUAUAAAAGGAGAGAGUUGGUCCUAAUUAACAAAUCAAGCAGUAGACAUAGAAGUGCGCACCUAGACACACGUACAUAUAUCGGGAGCCAGGCAUUGACCUAUCUUUGAUGAACUAAAAGAUUAAACAUAAAUCUCUCUGAACAACCUCCGAGAAAGCUAUUUUUAAUCCUGUUUCCUGAUUUCUAAGCAUAUGUUAACUCCCACCACAUGGUUAUAACUGUAACCUCAGCCUCUGAUAAGUCUUAACACACCUGCUUACCUCAUCUAACUCCAGUUUUGUCCUCUUGAAGUAUAGUAAUUUACAGGUUUCCCACAACCAGGGAAGAAAGGAGCCAGGAAGAGAAGAUAAAUCUCAAAUCUCGGGCUCCUGGUUCAAACUUGAGAUUAUGCUCGUCUUCCAGUGACUCUGCAGAGUGAAGUAUUUGUACGAUAGACGAAGGAUUGUUGUCAUCCAGCUGUGUUUCCCAAAGACAAUCCUGGAAGAUCCUGAAGACUGUCCCUCUCCAGAAGUGUAGUGGAAUACAUUGUCUCUUUCUCGCAUCUUGACCAAAAACUAAAGAAUCUCAGAGUUGUGAGCUAAAAUACGCUUUAUUAAAGAGCCAAAGAGACGAAGCCUUCUUUAACUUACAAAGAGACAGCUGGGCUCACUCAGCUCAUUGCGUCACCCAGAGCGAAGGAGUUGGAAGGGAGCGGAUGGUCCUGGUGAUGACGCAUGAGGUGGAAGAGAUUCGGCUCACAUCUCAUCUAUAUGGAUUGGCUAGCAUACAAUGAAAACCUUUCUCCCUUUGCCUUGAUGGAGACAGGAGAGGCUAACCCGGUGUGUGUGACGUGCAAGAAGGCGCCAUUUAAUCAGUCAGCCAGAGAAGUCCUUUCAAGUGUUGGGGGCUCUGAGAUGAUAGGUCUCCUGAUUAGCUUUCCUCUGCCCGGAACGUCUGCAAAGCGCCUAGAGAUAGACAGCUAAUGUUCCACUUCUCUGACUUUCCCCCAACACCGAUCGCUGGGCUUUGAAAAAGCCACCUCGUCACUAUUGUCGGGUUUGUUCAGGCGACAAGCUCAUCCAGAGCUCAAGAUUGUGACUUCAUUCUCAGAUCUUGCCUUAAGGAAGAGUCAUCCACAACCUCGAAGAUAUGGAUAAAGUAGGAUAAUAA